This 693-nucleotide ribosomal RNA is filed under the name Klebsiella pneumoniae. RNAcentral's name for it is "bacterial SSU rRNA". It matches the Rfam family "Bacterial small subunit ribosomal RNA", at positions 133 to 800 of the family's 1533-position model. The record is from RNAcentral. Lineage: Bacteria; Pseudomonadati; Pseudomonadota; Gammaproteobacteria; Enterobacterales; Enterobacteriaceae.
CGAUUCUGACAUGUGACGGAGUUCAGACGUGUGCUCUUCAGAUCUAAUACCGGAUAAUAUUUUGAACCGCAUGGUUCAAAAGUGAAAGACGGUCUUGCUGUCACUUAUAGAUGGAUCCGCGCUGCAUUAGCUAGUUGGUAAGGUAACGGCUUACCAAGGCAACGAUGCAUAGCCGACCUGAGAGGGUGAUCGGCCACACUGGGACUGAGACACGGCCCAGACUCCUACGGGAGGCAGCAGUAGGGAAUCUUCGGCAAUGGACGGAAGUCUGACCGAGCAACGCCGCGUGAGUGAAGAAGGUUUUCGGAUCGUAAAGCUCUGUUGUAAGAGAAGAACGAGUGUGAGAGUGGAAAGUUCACACUGUGACGGUAUCUUACCAGAAAGGGACGGCUAACUACGUGCCAGCAGCCGCGGUAAUACGUAGGUCCCGAGCGUUAUCCGGAUUUAUUGGGCGUAAAGCGAGCGCAGGCGGUUAGAUAAGUCUGAAGUUAAAGGCUGUGGCUUAACCAUAGUACGCUUUGGAAACUGUUUAACUUGAGUGCAAGAGGGGAGAGUGGAAUUCCAUGUGUAGCGGUGAAAUGCGUAGAUAUAUGGAGGAACACCGGUGGCGAAAGCGGCUCUCUGGCUUGUAACUGACGCUGAGGCUCGAAAGCGUGGGGAGCAAACAGGAUUAGUUACCCUGGUAGUCCAUGC